UACGGAAGGGGCAAGCGUUGUUCGGAAUCAUUGGGCGUAAAGGGCGCGUAGGUGGUUCUGUAUGUCUACCGUGAAAGCGUACGGCUCAACCGUAUUUUGUCGGUGGAAACUGCAGGACUUGAGGCUGGGAGGGGCUGGUGGAAUUCCCUGUGUAGCGGUGAAAUGCGUAGAGAUGGGGGAGAACACUCGUGGCGAAGGCGGCCAGCUAGACCAGUUCUGACACUGAGGCACGAAGGCCAGGGGAGCAAACGGG
This 253-nucleotide ribosomal RNA is filed under the name uncultured bacterium. RNAcentral describes it as "partial 16S ribosomal RNA". It matches the Rfam family "Bacterial small subunit ribosomal RNA", at positions 524 to 776 of the family's 1533-position model. The record is from RNAcentral.